Amphimedon queenslandica is the source of this 497-nucleotide long non-coding RNA. RefSeq lists it as uncharacterized. NCBI's taxonomy places the organism in Eukaryota, Metazoa, Porifera, Demospongiae, Haplosclerida, Niphatidae. The transcript is spliced from 5 exons. The record is from RefSeq and is a predicted model, not a curated record.
AGUCUGGUAAUAUUGAAGUUGCUCUUGACUAUCUAUCUGGAGCUGUGCAAUUGUUUGCUCAAGUCUUUGGGCCACAACAUGUCAACAUAGCUAACUGUUAUAAAGUUAUUGCAUGAAUUCAUCAUGCUCUAGGUGACAGUAAACUAGCAAUAUCAUUUCAGCACAAAACUGUCAUUAUGUAUGAGAGACUGCUAGGAGUGGACCACUGCAGCUCUAUAUCAGCCUAUUUCCAUUUGGCUUAGUAUUGCUGUGGGGCUGAGAGGAAUGUUGUGGCGUUGAGAUUACUGUAUAGAGUUAUGUAUCUAAUAAUGUUAACACUUGGUGAGGAUCAUCCUGAAAUGUCUAAUGUUGAUUUUUACAUUGGUUUACUACUGAGUAAUGCUGGUCAUUAUGAAGAAAGUCAGGCAUAUCUGGAAAGUGCUCGUAGAUUACAAAACAAGUGAGCUAGUAUAUACAAAUCAAGAGAAUUAAGGCUGGCUAUGUUUGUUCUUGUAUCU